UGGGCACUUCUGCGAGAGCUGCCGGUGGACAACUCCGGAGGAAGGUCGGGGACGUACGUCAAAUCAUCUCAUGCCCCUUAUGAUCUCU
Molecule: ribosomal RNA, 88 nt
Filed under: uncultured bacterium
Lineage: Bacteria
Description: partial 16S ribosomal RNA
Source: RNAcentral